Schizosaccharomyces pombe (fission yeast) is the source of this 577-nucleotide non-coding RNA. The record is from the annotation of a GenBank genome assembly. NCBI's taxonomy places the organism in Eukaryota, Fungi, Ascomycota, Schizosaccharomycetes, Schizosaccharomycetales, Schizosaccharomycetaceae.
UUUGUACAUUUAAUUUGAGAAACCCAUCUUUUGUUGAGAGGCUGUCAAUGAAUAGCAGUUUCAUUGAAAAGCAGCGGGAUGACCAGAAAAGUAUUUUACAAUGGCAAGGGAGUAGAAAGCUAGCGUAAUAUUCAGAAAGCUAGGUAAUUGAGCAAUCCUUUAAUUCAUUGCUAAGCAUGCUAGGUAAACGCAGUAAACCUUUCAGUUUUCAUUUAGGUAUAAGGCUGUUUAAUGAGUAUCUCCACUAAAUUUAAAGAUCAAAACUCAGUAUCAAUUCUUAAAAGUUUUAUUUUAUUUAAUAAUCAUAUACUUCUCAUAAUCUUUCAAUUUUUUCCCCAUUUUGAUGAUAUUUUUAUUAAUCCUACAGUAAGCUCUAUGAUAUCGUUAUUCUUCAAAUAGGCUGGUCAGCACGUGGACGGUGUUACUUAUCGUUAAAUAAAUCGUACUAAGGAGGUGCGAUGUAAAUGAUAUGCUUGUCAAGUAUUAACUGCUCUCCACCAACCGCCGGUUUAACUGAUUAUUGUUGAAAAGCGCAGACGAAGUUUAGAGAAUUACUAGCGUAUUUUAAAUUUAAUCA